This 497-nucleotide ribosomal RNA is filed under the name uncultured bacterium. Its description in RNAcentral is "partial 16S ribosomal RNA". It matches the Rfam family "Bacterial small subunit ribosomal RNA", at positions 28 to 507 of the family's 1533-position model. The record is from RNAcentral.
GACGAACGCUGGCGGCGUGCCUAAUACAUGCAAGUAGAACGCUGAAGAGAGGAGCUUGCUCUUCUUGGAUGAGUUGCGAACGGGUGAGUAACGCGUAGGUAACCUGCCUUGUAGCGGGGGAUAACUAUUGGAAACGAUAGCUAAUACCGCAUAACAAUGGAUGACACAUGUCAUUUAUUUGAAAGGGGCAAUUGCUCCACUACAAGAUGGACCUGCGUUGUAUUAGCUAGUAGGUGAGGUAAUGGCUCACCUAGGCGACGAUACAUAGCCGACCUGAGAGGGUGAUCGGCCACACUGGGACUGAGACACGGCCCAGACUCCUACGGGAGGCAGCAGUAGGGAAUCUUCGGCAAUGGGGGCAACCCUGACCGAGCAACGCCGCGUGAGUGAAGAAGGUUUUCGGAUCGUAAAGCUCUGUUGUAAGUCAAGAACGGGUGUGAGAGUGGAAAGUUCACACUGUGACGGUAGCUUAGCAGAAAGGGACGGCUAACUACGUG